RNAcentral lists this ribosomal RNA (1370 nucleotides) under Caenorhabditis elegans. RNAcentral's name for it is "SSU rRNA". It matches the Rfam family "Eukaryotic small subunit ribosomal RNA", at positions 3 to 1449 of the family's 1831-position model. Lineage: Eukaryota; Metazoa; Nematoda; Chromadorea; Rhabditida; Rhabditidae. RNAcentral also lists the same sequence under 1 other name. The record is from RNAcentral.
CCUGAUUGAUUCUGUCAGCGCGAUAUGCUCAAGUAAAAGAUUAAGCCAUGCAUGCUUUGAUUCAUCAAUGAAAUUGCGUACGGCUCAUUAGAGCAGAUAUCACCUUGUUCGGAAUAUUAUAUGGAUAACUGCGGAAAUACUGGAGCUAAUACAUGUCAUACAUCCCCAACGUAAGGCGGGGUGCAAUUAUUAGAACAGACCAAACGUUUUCGGACGUUGUUUGUUGACUCUGAAUAAAGCAGUUUACUGUCAGUUUCGACUGACUCUAUCCGAAAAGGGUGUCUGCCCUUUCAACUAGAUGGUAGUUUAUUGGACUACCAUGGUUGUUACGGGUAACGGAGAAUAAGGGUUCGACUCCGGAGAGGGAGCCUUAGAAACGGCUACCACGUCCAAGGAAGGCAGCAGGCGCGAAACUUAUCCACUGUUGAGUAUGAGAUAGUGACUAAAAAUAUAAAGACUCAUCCUUUUGGAUGAGUUAUUUCAAUGAGUUGAAUACAAAUGAUUCUUCGAGUAGCAAGGAGAGGGCAAGUCUGGUGCCAGCAGCCGCGGUAAUUCCAGCUCUCCUAGUGUAUCUCGUUAUUGCUGCGGUUAAAAAGCUCGUAGUUGGAUCUAGGUUACGUGCUGCAGUUCGCAAUUUGCGUCAACUGUAGUCGUGACUUCUAAUUUGCUGGUUUGAGGUUGGGUUCGCCCUUCAACUGCCAGCAGGUUUACCUUGAAUAAAUCAGAGUGCUCAAAACAAGUGUUUGCUUGAAUAGCUCAUCAUGGAAUAAUGAAACAGGACUUCGGUUCUUUUUGUUGGUUCUAGAACUGAUUUAAUGGUUAAGAGGGACAAACCGGGGGCAUUCGUAUCAUUACGCGAGAGGUGAAAUUCGUGGACCGUAGUGAGACGCCCAACAGCGAAAGCAUUUGCCAAGAAUGUCUUCAUUAAUCAAGAACGAAAGUCAGAGGUUCGAAGGCGAUUAGAUACCGCCCUAGUUCUGACCGUAAACGAUGCCAUCUCGCGAUUCGGAGGGUUUUUGCCCUGCCGAGGAGCUAUCCGGAAACGAAAGUCUUUCGGUUCCGGGGGUAGUAUGGUUGCAAAGCUGAAACUUAAAGAAAUUGACGGAAGGGCACCACAAGGCGUGGAGCUUGCGGCUUAAUUUGACUCAACACGGGAAAACUCACCCGGUCCGGACACCAUUAGGACUGACAGAUUGAAAGCUCUUUCUCGAUUUGGUGGUUGGUGGUGCAUGGCCGUUCUUAGUUGGUGGAGUGAUUUGUCUGGUUUAUUCCGAUAACGAGCGAGACUCUAGCCUGCUAAAUAGUUGGCGAAUCUUCGGGUUCGUAUAACUUCUUAGAGGGAUAAGCGGUGUUUAGCCGCACGAGAUUGA